This 468-nucleotide ribosomal RNA is filed under the name uncultured bacterium. RNAcentral's name for it is "partial 16S ribosomal RNA". It matches the Rfam family "Bacterial small subunit ribosomal RNA", at positions 28 to 507 of the family's 1533-position model. The record is from RNAcentral.
GACGAACGCUGGCGGCGUGCUCAACACAUGCAAGUCGAACGGAAAGGCCCUGCUUUUGUGGGGUGCUCGAGUGGCGAACGGGUGAGUAACACGUGAGUAACCUGCCCUUGACUUUGGGAUAACUUUAGGAAACUGGGGCUAAUACCGGAUAGGAGCUCCUGCUGCAUGGUGGGGGUUGGAAAGUUUCGGCGGUUGGGGAUGGACUCGCGGCUUAUCAGCUUGUUGGUGGGGUAGUGGCUUACCAAGGCUUUGACGGGUAGCCGGCCUGAGAGGGUGACCGGCCACAUUGGGACUGAGAUACGGCCCAGACUCCUACGGGAGGCAGCAGUGGGGAAUAUUGCACAAUGGGCGGAAGCCUGAUGCAGCAACGCCGCGUGCGGGAUGACGGCCUUCGGGUUGUAAACCGCUUUCGCCUGUGACGAAGCGUGAGUGACGGUAAUGGGUAAAGAAGCACCGGCUAACUACGUG